UGCUCCAAUAGCGUAUAUUAAAGUUGUUGUGGUUAAAAAGCUCGUAGUUGGAUUUGUGGCGCGGUCGUCCGGCGGGGCUUCCGGUUUCAUAGUAUCCCGGGGCCGUUUGUCUGGGUUCUUGGCCGCCCCAUUCUUCGGUUGCGUGUCGCUGGCAUUAGGUUGUCGGCUUCUUCGCGCCGAUCGUUUACUGUGAAAAAAUUAGAGUGUUCAAAGCAGGCUUAGGCCGUUGGAUACAUUAGCAUGGAAUAAUUAGAUAGGGCCACGGCGGUCUAUUUUGUUGGUUUGCACGUUGUGGUAAUGAUUAACAGGAACGGUUGGGGGUAUUCGUAUUCAAUUGUCAGAGGUGAAAUUCUUGGAUUUAUGGAAGACGAACUACUGCGAAAGCAUUUACCAAGGACGU
This 400-nucleotide ribosomal RNA is filed under the name phytoplankton environmental sample. Its description in RNAcentral is "partial small subunit ribosomal RNA". It matches the Rfam family "Eukaryotic small subunit ribosomal RNA", at positions 587 to 967 of the family's 1831-position model. The record is from RNAcentral.